UAAAAUUAGAGAAGCACAGCCGUAACGGAUCAUGUUUCACUCUCUUCCUAACACUGAAGAAGAUCAGAAAACAACUGUAGCCAUCUCUCAGAGGAUCCAGUACUUUAGGACAUAGAGGAAACUGUCAGGCCUCCUGCAUGACACCAGGGAGCUGAGGCUUUGUGGAUUGGAUUACUGCACCCAGUGAGACACACCUGCUGCCUGUCAAACCAACUUCUCUUCCUUGUUCCUCUGUAAUUCUUUUUCCUCCUGCACAUGGUUACAGUGAGAUGCUAGACCCCUCAUUCAACUACCUGCUGCCUAUUGAGCAACUCCUCUCGCUUACCCUGAGGCCCCCGUUCUUCCAAGCUAUUAGCUUAAAAACAGCAGA
RNAcentral lists this long non-coding RNA (370 nucleotides) under Callithrix jacchus (white-tufted-ear marmoset). RNAcentral describes it as "lncRNA (ENSCJAG00000082798.1)". The record is from RNAcentral. Lineage: Eukaryota; Metazoa; Chordata; Mammalia; Primates; Cebidae.